This 253-nucleotide ribosomal RNA is filed under the name uncultured bacterium. Its description in RNAcentral is "partial 16S ribosomal RNA". It matches the Rfam family "Bacterial small subunit ribosomal RNA", at positions 524 to 776 of the family's 1533-position model. The record is from RNAcentral.
AACGUAGGAGGCGAACGUUAUCCGGAAUUACUGGGCGUAAAGCGCACGCAGGCGGCUUCGUAAGUCCGACGUGAAAGCUCCCGGCUUAACUGGGAGAGGCCGUUGGAUACUGCGGGGCUCGAGGUUAGGAGAGGGAAGUGGAACUCCCGGUGUAGUGGUGGAAUGCGUAGAUAUCGGGAAGAACUCCAGUGGCGAAAGCGACUUCCUGGCCUACACCUAACGCUGAGGUGCGAAAGCGUGGGGAGCGAACAGG